UGGGGAAUUUUGGACAAUGGGCGAAAGCCUGAUCCAGCAAUGCCGCGUGUGUGAAGAAGGCCUUCGGGUUGUAAAGCACUUUUGUCCGGAAAGAAAUCCUUGGCUCUAAUACAGUCGGGGGAUGACGGUACCGGAAGAAUAAGCACCGGCUAACUACGUGCCAGCAGCCGCGGUAAUACGUAGGGUGCAAGCGUUAAUCGGAAUUACUGGGCGUAAGCGUGCGCAGGCGGUUUGCUAAGACCGAUGUGAAAUCCCCGGGCUCAACCUGGGAACUGCAUUGGUGACUGGCAGGCUAGAGUAUGGCAGAGGGGGGUAGAAUUCCACGUGUAGCAGUGAAAUGCGUAGAGAUGUGGAGGAAUACCGAUGGCGAAGGCAGCCCCCUGGGCCAAUACUGACGCUCAUGCACGAAAGCGUGGGGAGCAAACAGGAUUAGAUACCCUGGUAGUCCACGCCCUAAACGAUGUCAACUAGUUGUUGGGGAUUCAUUUCCUUAGUAACGUAGCUAACGCGUGAAGUUGACCGCCUGGGGAGUACGGUCGCAAGAUUAAACUC
RNAcentral lists this ribosomal RNA (552 nucleotides) under uncultured bacterium. RNAcentral's name for it is "partial 16S ribosomal RNA". It matches the Rfam family "Bacterial small subunit ribosomal RNA", at positions 355 to 902 of the family's 1533-position model. The record is from RNAcentral.